Molecule: ribosomal RNA, 484 nt
Filed under: uncultured bacterium
Lineage: Bacteria
Description: partial 16S ribosomal RNA
Rfam family: Bacterial small subunit ribosomal RNA
Source: RNAcentral
AUUGAACGCUGGCGGCAUGCUUUACACAUGCAAGUCGAACGGCAGCGCGGGCUUCGGCCUGGCGGCGAGUGGCGAACGGGUGAGUAAUGCAUCGGAACGUGCCCAGUAGUGGGGGAUAGCCCGGCGAAAGCCGGAUUAAUACCGCAUACGACCUGAGGGUGAAAGCGGGGGACCGAAAGGCCUCGCGCUAUUGGAGCGGCCGAUGUCGGAUUAGCUAGUUGGUGGGGUAAAGGCUUACCAAGGCGACGAUCCGUAGCUGGUCUGAGAGGACGACCAGCCACAGUGGGACUGAGACACGGCCCAGACUCCGACGGGAGGCAGCAGUGGGGAAUAUUGGACAAGGGGGGCAAGCCUGAUCCAGCCAGACCGCGUGGGGGAAGAAGGCCUUCGGGUUGUAAAGCCCUUUUGUUGGGAAAGAAAAGCAGCAGGUUAAUACCCCGGUGGUCUGACGGUACCGAAAGAAUAAGCACCGGCUAACUUCGUG